RNAcentral lists this ribosomal RNA (492 nucleotides) under uncultured bacterium. Its description in RNAcentral is "partial 16S ribosomal RNA". It matches the Rfam family "Bacterial small subunit ribosomal RNA", at positions 29 to 507 of the family's 1533-position model. The record is from RNAcentral.
AGUGAACGCUGGCGGUAGGCCUAACACAUGCAAGUCGAACGGCAGCACAGUAAGAGCUUGCUCUUACGGGUGGCGAGUGGCGGACGGGUGAGGAAUACAUCGGAAUCUACUUUUUCGUGGGGGAUAACGUAGGGAAACUUACGCUAAUACCGCAUACGACCUACGGGUGAAAGCAGGGGAUCUUCGGACCUUGCGCGAUUGAAUGAGCCGAUGUCGGAUUAGCUAGUUGGCGGGGUAAAGGCCCACCAAGGCGACGAUCCGUAGCUGGUCUGAGAGGAUGAUCAGCCACACUGGAACUGAGACACGGUCCAGACUCCUACGGGGGGCAGCAGUGGGGAAUAUUGGACAAUGGGCGCAAGCCUGAUCCAGCCAUACCGCGUGAGUGAAGAAGGCCUUCGGGUUGUAAAGCCCUUUUGUUGGGAAAGAAAAGCAGCAGGUUUAUACCCCGCUGUUCUGACGGUACCCAAAGAAUAAGCACCGGCUAACUUCGUG